RNAcentral lists this ribosomal RNA (425 nucleotides) under uncultured bacterium. RNAcentral describes it as "partial 16S ribosomal RNA". It matches the Rfam family "Bacterial small subunit ribosomal RNA", at positions 354 to 796 of the family's 1533-position model. The record is from RNAcentral.
GUGGGGAAUCUUGCGCAAUGGGCGAAAGCCUGACGCAGCCAUGCCGCGUGAAUGAUGAAGGUCUUAGGAUUGUAAAAUUCUUUCACCGGGGACGAUAAUGACGGUACCCGGAGAAGAAGCCCCGGCUAACUUCGUGCCAGCAGCCGCGGUAAUACGAAGGGGGCUAGCGUUGCUCGGAAUUACUGGGCGUAAAGGGCGCGUAGGCGGACAGUUUAGUCAGAGGUGAAAGCCCAGGGCUCAACCUUGGAAUUGCCUUUGAUACUGGCUGUCUUGAGUACGGGAGAGGUGGGUGGAACUCCGAGUGUAGAGGUGAAAUUCGUAGAUAUUCGGAAGAACACCAGUGGCGAAGGCGACUCACUGGCCCGUUACUGACGCUGAGGCGCGAAAGCGUGGGGAGCAAACAGGAUUAGAAACCCGUGUAGUCC